Transfer RNA from Sistotremastrum niveocremeum HHB9708, 85 nucleotides. It matches the Rfam family "tRNA". From Rfam's summary of the family: Transfer RNA (tRNA) molecules are approximately 80 nucleotides in length. Their secondary structure includes four short double-helical elements and three loops (D, anti-codon, and T loops). The record is from Rfam. Lineage: Eukaryota; Fungi; Basidiomycota; Agaricomycetes; Sistotremastrales; Sistotremastraceae.
GGCCGUCUGGCGAAAUGGCAUCGCGUCUGACUACGAUCAAGUAAUUGCAAUCAGGAGAUUGCAGGUUCGACCCCUGCGUCGGUCA